Schistosoma rodhaini is the source of this 46-nucleotide non-coding RNA. The record is from Rfam. Lineage: Eukaryota; Metazoa; Platyhelminthes; Trematoda; Strigeidida; Schistosomatidae.
UUUCAAUCUGAUGAGUCCCAAAUAGGAAGAAACGCGCGUCCUGAAU